RNAcentral lists this transfer RNA (82 nucleotides) under Fasciola hepatica (liver fluke). It matches the Rfam family "tRNA". From Rfam's summary of the family: Transfer RNA (tRNA) molecules are approximately 80 nucleotides in length. Their secondary structure includes four short double-helical elements and three loops (D, anti-codon, and T loops). The record is from Rfam by way of RNAcentral. Lineage: Eukaryota; Metazoa; Platyhelminthes; Trematoda; Plagiorchiida; Fasciolidae.
GUCGAGAUAGCCGAGUGGUUAAGGCGUUGGACUCGAAAUCCAAUGGGGUUUCCCCGCGCAGGUUCGAACCCUGCUCUCGACG